AAAUAGCCCCGAUUGCAGUGAAAAUCCUUUGUGGGCUGGGGUUCAGCCGACAAAGAUUGUAACGGAAAGCGGGACGAAUC
Molecule: small RNA, 80 nt
Organism: Flavobacterium succinicans
Lineage: Bacteria; Pseudomonadati; Bacteroidota; Flavobacteriia; Flavobacteriales; Flavobacteriaceae
Rfam family: Flavo-1 RNA
Source: Rfam